UCUUGGGGAUGGUUAAGAGGUAAUUCACCAGUUGAAAAUGGAAGCGAGGAACAGCAAUUGCUGGCCGUGUCGUCUCAGAUGGCCUCGCUGCCUCCGCUUGGACCUCAUCACCAACCCGACCUCCAGGCCUUGAACCUCGCCGCGGCUCCUCGCCGCCCGGAGAUGGCCGAAGACAAGCAAGCAUCUGUUGUUGAGGGGAAUGAUCAAGUAACUGGUCAUAUCAUCUCCACUACCAUUGGAGGCAAGAAUGGUGAACCAAAGCAGACCAUUAGUUACAUGGCAGAGCGGGUUGUGGGGACUGGUUCGUUUGGUAUAGUCUUUCAGGCCAAAUGCUUGGAAACAGGGGAAACAGUUGCAAUAAAGAAGGUCUUACAGGACAGAAGAUACAAAAAUCGUGAGCUACAACUGAUGCGUGCAAUGGAUCAUCCUAACGUGAUAUCUCUAAAGCACUGUUUCUUCUCCACCACGAGCAGAGAUGAGCUCUUUCUCAAUCUGGUUAUGGAAUAUGUCCCAGAAACCCUGUACCGUGUCCUGAGGCACUAUAGCAAUGUGAACCAGAGGAUGCCACUCAUCUAUGUGAAGCUUUAUACAUAUCAGCUAUUUAGGGGCUUAGCUUAUAUUCAUACUGUUCCAGGAGUUUGCCACAGAGAUGUCAAGCCCCAAAAUGUGUUGGUGGAUCCUCUUACUCACCAAGUCAAGCUCUGUGAUUUUGGAAGUGCAAAAGUUCUGGUUAAAGGUGAAGCAAACAUAUCAUACAUCUGCUCUCGUUAUUACCGUGCUCCAGAGCUCAUAUUUGGUGCAACCGAAUACGCAACAUCAAUUGAUAUAUGGUCAGCAGGUUGUGUUCUUGCUGAGUUACUUCUUGGCCAGCCAUUGUUUCCUGGAGAAAGUGCUGUUGAUCAGCUUGUUGAGAUAAUCAAGGUUCUUGGAACUCCAACCCGGGAGGAGAUUCGGUGCAUGAAUCCUAACUACACGGAGUUUAGGUUUCCACAGAUAAAAGCACAUCCCUGGCAUAAGGUCCAAUUUUUUCGAUUUAUCUCGUCUUGUUGUAACUUUUAUUUUUCAUGUGAUUUAUCAUUUUGAGCUCAUGACAUAUAUAGAGUGCUUGGGCAUACCGCCAUAAUCAUCAUUUGAUUCUGAGAAUAACUAAUACUGGGUGUUAUUGGAUGACUUGUUCUCAAGGAGCAUCCUGAAGUAACCAGCGAGUGAUUCCACCAUGAUAUUCCACAAGCGAAUGCCUCCAGAAGCAAUAGAUCUUACAUCACGUCUUCUCCAAUACUCGCCAAGUCUUCGUUGCACUGCAUUAGAUGCAUGUGCCCAUUCCUUCUUUGAUGAACUACGAGAGCCUAAUGCACGAUUGCCAAAUGGUCGCCCUCUUCCUCCUUUGUUUAACUUCAAACACGAAUUGGCAGGUUCCUCGCCCGAGCUCAUUAACAAGCUAAUUCCGGAACAUGUGAGGAGGCAAUCAGGUCUCAGUUUCUUGCACCCGGCAGGGACAUAAGAAGCUUUUAGCUAUUUUGAACUAUAUACCAUGAUCAAAAGCAAGAGGGGGAUUUAAUGGUUUUCAUGCACUGGAAAGUGUUUAGCAAGUGAGAUUGUUCGCAAGAUGGAAGCUAAACAAGCAGUGUUGCUGGUUUGUUUGCGUGGCUCUAAGCAUACCGUCCAGCCAAUGUUUUAGGCUCUGUAUAUUGUAUGGUAUAAGGGUCGUUGUGACCUGAAAGCUAACUGUUGAUGCUGACUGUUCAGAAGUGAGAUAAGCAUGGUGGAGGGGUAGGAGAGCAGUCCUUGCAAUGUUGUUUGGUUUGUGUUGGACACUGUAGCAAUUGUCUUGUUUCUCAUUUUAUUUUUCAGUGCUGGUGCAUGUUGUAAGUGCAUGUGGCUUGUAACUUGUUGUUUCAUGUAAUGUACCAAAAUCCAGAGUUUUGAAGCCAUGGAGCUGGAAA
Phoenix dactylifera (date palm) is the source of this 1943-nucleotide RNA transcript. It is a transcript of the gene named shaggy-related protein kinase eta, with no coding region annotated. NCBI's taxonomy places the organism in Eukaryota, Viridiplantae, Streptophyta, Magnoliopsida, Arecales, Arecaceae. The record is from RefSeq and is a predicted model, not a curated record.